AUUGGCAGAGCUUGCAGGGAGUGAAGUCCUUGACCUUGGGAAGGCGGCAUGGCCGUGGGCAGGCGACCCUUCCCACAGCCGCCUCCCGGGCCCGUCUGGCCGGGGCCACCCGGGGCAGCACAGGGGCUCCUUGGAAUGGAGGCCGAGCACAGGGCGCUUGUGAUGGCAUCCAGGACCCACCUGGGUAAUCCAGGGUGAUCUCAUCUUGAAAUCCUUAACUACAGCUGCAAAUUAGAUGCCUUGGCCGAGGAAACCACGGGAAUCUCAUUUGAAGAGCCCCC
Myotis davidii is the source of this 281-nucleotide long non-coding RNA. RefSeq lists it as uncharacterized. Lineage: Eukaryota; Metazoa; Chordata; Mammalia; Chiroptera; Vespertilionidae. The transcript has 3 exons. The record is from RefSeq and is a predicted model, not a curated record.